This 423-nucleotide ribosomal RNA is filed under the name uncultured bacterium. Its description in RNAcentral is "partial 16S ribosomal RNA". It matches the Rfam family "Bacterial small subunit ribosomal RNA", at positions 359 to 774 of the family's 1533-position model. The record is from RNAcentral.
GAAUUUUGUACAAUGGGCGAAAGCCUGAUCCAGCAAUGCCGCGUGCAGCAUGAAGGCCUUCGGGUUGUAAACUGCUUUUGUACGGAACGAAAACCUUUGGGUUAAUACACUGGAGACAUGUCGCUACCGUCAGAAUAAGCCCCGGCUAACUACGACCCAGAAGCACCGGUAAUACGGAGGGUGCAAGCGUUAAUCGGAAUUACUGGGCGUAAAGCGUGCGCAGGCGGUUUUGUAAGACAGAGGUGAAAUCCCCGGGCUCAACCUGGGAACUGCCUUUGUGACUGCAAGGCUAGAGUACGGCAGAGGGGGGUGGAAUUCCGCGUGUAGCAGUGAAAUGCGUAGAUAUGCGGAGGAACACCGAUGGCGAAGGCAACCCCCUGGGCCUGUACUGACGCUCAUGCACGAAAGCGUGGGGAGCAAACA